This 332-nucleotide unclassified non-coding RNA is filed under the name soil metagenome. RNAcentral's name for it is "partial contains 5.8S ribosomal RNA, internal transcribed spacer 2, and large subunit ribosomal RNA". The stretch from base 1 to 120 matches the Rfam family "5.8S ribosomal RNA", at positions 35 to 154 of the family's 154-position model. The record is from RNAcentral.
GAUGAAGAACGUAGUGAAAUGCGAUAAGUAAUGUGAAUUGCAGAAUUCAGUGAAUCAUCGAAUCUUUGAACGCACAUUGCGCCCGCCAGUAUUCUGGCGGGCAUGCCUGUUCGAGCGUCAUUUCAACCCUCAAGCACAGCUUGGUGUUGGGACUCGCGUUAAUUCGCGUUCCUCAAAUUGAUUGGCGGUCACGUCGAGCUUCCAUAGCGUAGUAGUAAAACCCUCGUUACUGGUAAUCGUCGCGGCGACGCCGUUAAACCCCAACUUCUGAAUGUUGACCUCGGAUCAGGUAGGAAUACCCGCUGAACUUAAGCAUAUCAAUAAGCGGAGGA